RNAcentral lists this unclassified non-coding RNA (215 nucleotides) under soil metagenome. Its description in RNAcentral is "partial contains 5.8S ribosomal RNA, internal transcribed spacer 2, and large subunit ribosomal RNA". The record is from RNAcentral.
AACCAUAGAAACCUGCGGAGUACCUGCGGAAGGAUCAUUACAAGUGACCCCGGUCUAACCACCGGGAUGUUCAUAACCCUUUGUUGUCCGACUCUGUUGCCUCCGGGGCGACCCUGCCUUCGGGCGGGGGCUCCGGGUGGACACUUCAAACUCUUGCGUAACUUUGCAGUCUGAGUAAACUUAAUUAAUAAAUUAAAACUUUCAGCAACGGAUCU